Sciurus carolinensis (gray squirrel) is the source of this 3046-nucleotide long non-coding RNA. RefSeq lists it as uncharacterized. Lineage: Eukaryota; Metazoa; Chordata; Mammalia; Rodentia; Sciuridae. The record is from RefSeq and is a predicted model, not a curated record. The transcript has 7 exons.
CUUGCCCGAGGCCCUGACCAGGCUGUUCCCCUGGCAGGAGUGGGAGGUGGCUGGCUAAGGGGCUGGCAGGAGGCCCUGGGGCCCUGGUUGACCCGCUUGCCCAGCACGGCCACACUGCUCCUCAGACGCAGGCCCCUGGUGGCCCAGAGAAGCCCCUGAUGAGUGGGACUGGAGCAGACCGGCCCGACGGCAGGCUCCUGCAUCCAGACCUGGCUGGCGGCAGGCCGGGCUGCAGGGGCCCUGGGGAGGGUGCUGUUGCGGGUGGGUCUGCCUGCCUGGUUUUCCUACCUUUUGUGGGCUCUGACUCUGACUUCAGCUGGAGAUGCUGCAGGGUCUGGUGAGAGCCCCCCGCCUUGCCAAACAGCUCUCCCCCCAGAGCGUGGCUUCCUCCAGUCACUGGCCGCCAGCCACACCAGCCCCAGGUUGCACUUAGUGAUAGGAAGCUUUUCCUGCGCAAGUGGCAGACGCCAUUCUCAAAACUUGGAAGAGGACAGUUGAUUGCUCUGUAGAAUUGGAAAAUGUAAGGGGCAGAUGAAUUUCAGGCAUAGCUGGAUCCAGGAGGUCAGAAUGUACAAUCUCAAAGGUCAGGCAGAUCUCUCUACCUCUCCCCUGCUUUCCUGUGCAGUUUUAUUCUCAGGUCAGCAUCCACUCUGGGUAGACAUAGAUGGUCAUGGGACGCUCCGGGCAUAGAACCACUCUUGGUUUCCUGUAAACUUGUAAGUCUCCCGCAGGACUCAGACUGGCUCGGGUGGCUGGCCGAGGAGGGGUCGUUUUUGGAGGAGACAGGGAGUUGAUACCUAAGGAAGGGGGUGAAUAGAGGGUGGGCAGAACCAUGCUUUCUGCUACCUGUGGCCUCUCUGGGUGACCAGUGAGUGUCCCCUGGAGAAGAAGCAUUUCUAAAAGUAGAAGCCCUCGUCAGAGGCACAGGGUCUCCAUUUACUGGCCUCUUUCUUCCCUGAGAGAAAAACGCGGGGGCUGCCAGGACCCGCCUCGCCAAACCCCUGAGGCUUCAGAGGGCCUGUCCACCUCUCCAGCUUUCAGCUCUCCAGAUCUCAGGAGGGAACUUGCCCAGAAAUGCGGAUCAGAAGGAAUUUGUACAAUUCCAGGGAUGAGAGAGUGACCAGAGCCCAGCUCAGCCAAGCCCCCGUGUGCCUCUGGGCAGGUGCAAGAUGCCAGGUCAGACUCUUGGAUCAGUGGAAUACGUGCUUCAUGGUCACCUCUAACAGCCAGCCCUCCGAAUCCCAGAUCCCAGUGUGGGAACACAGGAGAAAGGGUUUCUGACGGGCAGGAGCCGUGAGCCCCGAGGACGAGGGCGCAGAGGAGCUUGCUGGCCACAGGGCCUCCUGCAGCGUGCGCAGAGGGGGCAGGACCAGCUGUGACUGCUCUGUGUUGAGUUUAGCUCCCAGUGCAGAGGAAUAUUUAUUCGUGUGUGCGAAGACACAAGGCUGGAAUAAAAGAGGAUUUAGACUUCCUGUGCAGUUUAGAGGUCGAACUCAAUAAUCCCAGGAGACAAUAAGAAGAGCUGCCUCCUCAGGAGGAGAUGCGCCAGCUUGAAUGGGUGUGCAAUACAUUGAGGGCACCCUGGCUGGAGGCCUGGGAGGACCUGGGAAGUGAUUUCCUGCCUCCUGCAGGUGAGGUGGAGGCCUGCAUCCUAGCCAGGGAUAGGCCCUGAGAACCCUGGUAUCUACAUGUAGGUGGUCCUUGCUAUGGACAGUCACAUGGAGUAUGUGACCCAUGUGGCCCUUGGCUUCCCUCAGAGGGAGGCUCCUACUCAAAGUGUUUGCAGAUGUAAUUCAGGAAAUCAAGAUACAAUCAUCCUGGACUAAAGGCGGACCAUAAUCCAAUGACCAGGCCACAGGAGAAAGCAGUGGAGAUCCAAGACAAGGAGACACAGGGGAAGCCCUGUGGAGGCAGGCGCAGGCUGGAGGACGCUGCCGGAAGACAGGGAAGCCGGAGUCCCGAGCUGGAAGAGGCCAGGACCCUCCUCCCGAGCCUGCGAUCCCUCCUCAGCAGGGCCAGGCGGGCUCAGCACCAGGCGCCUCUGCAAGUGACAGGUCAAGAGGCAAGAGUAGGAGAGCAGGGACAGGGCCUUGUGCUCCCUGGGUCCUCAGAGCUCCUGGGCUUUAACUCAGGCUGUCUGGGAGGCUGGUGAGCCCUGACCACAGCACCUCUGGUCUGUUCUGGGACUCUGGUACCCUUCUGUCCACUCCAUGUCCAGCCCAGAUCAGGCAGGCCACGGCAGCCUCCUUCCAAGCAAAGCCUCCCUGUGUUCUGCGCUGACAGGACCAGAGUCCCCAAAGGGGACAGGGGACUCUGAAGGUGACACUGCAAUAGGACCAGGGUAGGUGGAGCCCAGGCAAUUGGCCCAGCCCAAACCACUGGUGCCCAGCCACAGCUGCCCCCCAUGCCUGUUUCUGUAGGUUCUAGGCCAGUGUCCCCCCUGGGGCCUGUGGGUGGUGUCCACCUCCAGAAUCAGGCCCAGAUCCUUCCAGGAAUCCUUCCCUCUUCCCAGGCGCCCUUGCGCCCCGCUCCCAGCUGCAGACCCAGCCUGAGAGGUCCCCAGUCCCCCCGGUGUGUUCCUCCCCCCCACCGUGGUCAGGAUCACAUCUUAUUUCUGUGUGCCCCAGCGUGGGCCAGGAGUUGGCCUGAAGAGCGUACCCUGGGUGGAUGUGGGCCGGGGUGGGGCUGACAGCAGAGGCAGGGCCUCUCCAGAGACCAAGGACACCCCUAGGACCACAUCUGCACGUCCACCAAGCACGGGCCUGAGCUCAGGCCUAGUGACCACAGCAGGACGGAUUCUUCCAGCUGGGGACAUUCAGGGGUGGCAGGGUCGUCCUCACAGCGCUGGGGGGACUGCACUUUGCUGCCUUCCGAGUGCCUGCCCGCUCACGUCUGCAGCCCGGGUUCUGGUCUCAGGUGUCUGACGGGGAGGUGAGAGCCAGCACCCACUCGGGUCAUCGGACUUGUCCAAGUGUUGUUAGCUGCUAAUUACAAUUAAAUCUUUGAUGAGCUGUUUCUUAUCUUCUUAAUUAAAAUAAUCGUGAUU